CGACGCCAUCCCCGUUCACCUUGAAGCGUGUGUCAGUCGGGACAUACACGGCCCACGGCCGCCCGCUGCAGGCUGCAAAGCUCACUCGUCCCAGCUCCCUGCCCGCCGCCACGCUGUCCUGGGGCACACUGAAGCUGAAGGUCUCUGCAGCAAAGCCGGGCUGGCAGGGGGCUGCCUCGUCGCACCGCUGGCCGCACACCUGGAGCAGCAGCAGCAGCACCAACACGGGGAAGCGCUGCAGGGCGGGGGAACCCCACCGCCGGCCCAUGGCUCAGGGACCGGGCCGGUACCGGUACGGGUACCGCUGCGCACGGAGCUGCCGAGCGC
RNAcentral lists this long non-coding RNA (327 nucleotides) under Gallus gallus (chicken). Lineage: Eukaryota; Metazoa; Chordata; Aves; Galliformes; Phasianidae. The record is from RNAcentral.